UUGACCUCGGAUCAGGUAGGAAUACCCGCUGAACUUAAGCAUAUCAAUAAGCGGAGGAAAAGAAACCAACAGGGAUUGCCCCAGUAACGGCGAGUGAAGCGGCAACAGCUCAAAUUUGAAAUCUGGCCCCAGGCCCGAGUUGUAAUUUGCAGAGGAUGCUUUGGGCGCGGCGCCUUCCGAGUUCCCUGGAACGGGACGCCAUAGAGGGUGAGAGCCCCGUACGGUCGGACGCCUAGCCUAUGUAAAGCUCCUUCGACGAGUCGAGUAGUUUGGGAAUGCUGCUCAAAAUGGGAGGUAUAUUUCUUCUAAAGCUAAAUACCGGCCAGAGACCGAUAGCGCACAAGUAGAGUGAUCGAAAGAUGAAAAGCACUUUGAAAAGAGGGUUAAACAGCACGUGAAAUUGUUAAAGGGGAAGCGCUUGUGACCAGACUUGCGUCCGGUGAAUCAUCCAGCCUUCUGGCUGGUGCACUUCGCCGGCACAGGCCAGCAUCAGCUCGCUGUCGGGGACAAAAGCUUUGGGAACGUAGCUCCUCUCGGGGAGUGUUAUAGCCCGUUGCAUAAUACCCUUCGGCGGGCUGAGGUACGCGCUCCGCAAGGAUGCUGGCGUAAUGGUCAUCAGCGACCCGUCUUGAAACACGGACCAAGGAGUCAACCUUAUGUGCGAGUGUUUGGGUGUUAAACCCCUACGCGUAAUGAAAGUGAACGCAGGUGAGAGCUUCGGCGCAUCAUCGACCGAUCCUGAUGUUCUCGGAUGGAUUUGAGUAAGAGCAUAUAGGGUUGGACCCGAAAGAAGGUGAACUAUGCGUGUAUAGGGUGAAGCCAGAGGAAACUCUGGUGGAGGCUCGCAGCGGUUCUGACGUGCAAAUCGAUCGUCAAAUAUGCGCAUGGGGGCGAAAGACUAAUCGAACCUUCUAGUAGCUGGUUUCCGCCGAAGUUUCCCUCAGGAUAGCAGUGUUGAGCUCAGUUUUAUGAGGUAAAGCGAAUGAUUAGGGACUCGGGGGCGCUAUAUUGCCUUCAUCCAUUCUCAAACUUUAAAUAUGUAAGAAGCCCUUGUUGCUUAAUUGAACGUGGGCAUUCGAAUGUAUCAACACUAGUGGGCCAUUUUUGGUAAGCAGAACUGGCGAUGCGGGAUGAACCGAACGCGAGGUUAAGGUGCCAGAGUAGACGCUCAUCAGACACCA
RNAcentral lists this ribosomal RNA (1181 nucleotides) under Monilochaetes camelliae. RNAcentral describes it as "eukaryotic LSU rRNA". It matches the Rfam family "Eukaryotic large subunit ribosomal RNA", at positions 1 to 1214 of the family's 3401-position model. The record is from RNAcentral. Lineage: Eukaryota; Fungi; Ascomycota; Sordariomycetes; Glomerellales; Australiascaceae.